CGGAGGGGCGUAGCGUUGUUCGGAAUUACUGGGCGUAAAGCGCACGUAGGCGGACCAGAAAGUUGGGGUGAAGUCCCGGGCUCAACCUCGGAACUGCCUUCAAACUAUUGGUCUUGAGUUCGAGAGAGGUGAGUGGAAUUCCGAGUGUAGAGGUGAAAUUCGUAGAUAUUCGGAGGAACACCAGUGGCGAAGGCGGCUCACUGGCUCGAUACUGACGCUGAGGUGCGAAAGCGUGGGGAGCAAACAGGAUU
Molecule: ribosomal RNA, 251 nt
Filed under: uncultured bacterium
Lineage: Bacteria
Description: partial 16S ribosomal RNA
Rfam family: Bacterial small subunit ribosomal RNA
Source: RNAcentral